RNAcentral lists this microRNA precursor (104 nucleotides) under Marmota monax (woodchuck). Lineage: Eukaryota; Metazoa; Chordata; Mammalia; Rodentia; Sciuridae. The record is from RNAcentral.
AGUGGGCUUGCUGGAUCACAUGGUAGCUUUGCUUUUAAUUUUUGAGAAACUGCCAUAUUGUUUUCCAUAGUGGCUGUACCAUUUUUUUCAUUUCCACCAGCAAU